UAAAAAAUCAAUACGGAGGAAAAGAAACUAACUAGGAUUCCCUUAGUAACGGCGAGUGAACCGGGAUGAGCUCAAAUUUAAAAUCUGGCGUCUUUCAGGCGUCCGAGUUGUAAUCUAUAGAGGCGUUUUCCGCGCCGGACCGCGUCCAAGUCUCUUGGAAUAGAGUAUCAAAGAGGGUGACAAUCCCGUACUUGACGCGACAACCGGUGCUCUGUGAUACGUUCUCAAUGAGUCGAGUUGUUUGGGAAUGCAGCUCUAAAUGGGUGGUAAAUUCCAUCUAAGGCUAAAUAUUGGCGAGAGACCGAUAGCGAACAAGUACCGUGAGGGAAAGAUGAAAAGCACUUUGGAAAGAGAGUUAAACAGCACGUGAAAUUGUUAAAAGGGAAACGAUUGAAGUCAGUCGUGUGAAAGGUAUUCAGCCGUCUCUGGCGGUGUAUUUGCCUUUCACGGGUCAACAUCAGUUUGAUCCGGUAGAAAAAGGCGGGAGGAAGGUGGCACCCUCGGGUGUGUUAUAGCCUCCUGUCAUAUGUGCCGGACCAGACUGAGGAACGCAGCUUGCCGCAAGGCCGGGGUUCGCCCACGUACAAGCUAGGAGUGAUCUA
RNAcentral lists this ribosomal RNA (602 nucleotides) under Vishniacozyma victoriae. Its description in RNAcentral is "eukaryotic LSU rRNA". It matches the Rfam family "Eukaryotic large subunit ribosomal RNA", at positions 36 to 609 of the family's 3401-position model. Lineage: Eukaryota; Fungi; Basidiomycota; Tremellomycetes; Tremellales; Bulleribasidiaceae. The record is from RNAcentral.